RNAcentral lists this long non-coding RNA (2300 nucleotides) under Solanum tuberosum (potato). Its description in RNAcentral is "long non-coding RNA (STUB_LNC002789)". Lineage: Eukaryota; Viridiplantae; Streptophyta; Magnoliopsida; Solanales; Solanaceae. The record is from RNAcentral.
UUCGUUCUUCUGAUACUCAAGCUCUCAGUUUCCUUCUCAUACUCCAUCUUCACUUGUAAUCAGGUGUCUACUUCUUUCGCGGUAAUUGUUUUCUCCAAUUAAUUUCUCUUAUUGCACUUGUUUUGUGGGUAAAUUUUUAAUAGAUUCUUACAUGAGUAUGUUAAUGUGACCUUCACAUACAUAUGUACAGACUGAUACUCCAACUACUGAUUUGGAUGAUUAUUGUUUGGUGCCUCUACUUAUUAACUUUCUCAUGUAUUUUGCUUUGGAAAAUCGCUGACCCUAAUGGCGUUUUGUUAGUAUUAUCUUUUGUUACAAACUAAUUACAGAAUUAGUCCUGUCUUGGAGAAAGUUCUUCUACUAACUGUUGAUAUGUGUCAACUUCUGCUAUUUAGUGAUUCCUCAACCCUAAGUUUUUUCCAUGAAGAAAAAUCGAUAAUCCUUGCACCACCAUCUUCGGAUCACCCCACUUGUGGAAUUACACUUGAUACGUGGUUGUUAGUUGAGGCAAUCCUUGAUUCUUCGGCGGGAAAUUCACUUAUUAGAUCUAUUAUAACUUAAUCACAAACUUCGUUUCCAAGGGAUUGUGUAACUUUGGUUAUAUUUAGCGAGGAAAUCCUUCACUACUUUUCCAGUGUCGAUGUUCCUCCAUUAGAUCCAUGCCAAGGAUAUCUGGCUUGAAUCCAACCCCUUUUCCCGUUAUCUGAUGAUGACCUGGUUUUCCACCAUUCAGUAUAUUACUUUCAGUUGGCUCGAAUCCAUAUAAGCACAACGUUAACUAUUUUUGACAUAGGAUUGUUCUCAAUUUCUUGACAUGGGAUUAUCUUGGAAGUUUACCGAUUCUGUUUCGAGGAAUCAAGAGUAUUACAUUAGAGUAUAUAUUUAACUUGACAUUAGGAUUUUUGGAUUUAAGAUGUUGUCCAACAUCAGUAUUCCCAUGAAAAAUAUGUCAAUAUUACCUAGAGUUUCUUCCCAUAUUUCAGGGCAUGUUGUGUCAAAAUGAUCCUGCUUUCGAUAUGAAGCAAUUGAGAAUUCUGUAGUAAAACAGAGAAUACAUUAAUUAAGUUAGGUUUCUUAAAAUUACCUGAGUGUUUGCAGGGUUGUAGAAUUGUUGAAGCAUGAAAGCAUUAGGUGUAGAUUCCAAAAGUUCAUAAGCCUUCUUAACAAUGCCUGUCAUUCCUAGGUUGGAUCGAUGAGGAUUAAAUCGGCUCUAAAUGCUCUCAUUUUCCCUUUCCUCUCUAUGCUCGUGUACGAAGGCAUUUUCAAAACCAUUUUGUAGCCUUUCAUUGCUGUCAUAAAUGCUAUACUGAUCCCCAUAUUUCCUGAUGUUUGCUCAAUCAACAUCCUCUAAUUAUAAAUAAUAAUCAACAAGCAUGUCAGAGAUCAAAAUAAUUGUGUGCUCAAUCUGUUGCCAUUGUUUUGUUUUAAUUUCCAGAUGUAUUAGAUUUUAAGACCAAGCUAAUCAAUUUUCAAAUUACACAUAAGUAAUUACCUGUGAAAAUUUCUCCUUCGUUUCAGACUGGUGCAAUACCUUUUAGUUUUUUGUUUUCUAUCAUAUGAAGAUUAUACAUUUUUAUUCAUGUAUGAAUAGAGGCUUUAGACUGACUGAGUAUAUAAGUUUAUUCUGCAUAUUUUUUCCAUUUACUCAUAAGUAGAUAAUUUUCUUUUGCUAGCUGUUUAAUUUACUUUAUUGGCCAAUUUGCCUUAAAAUUAUUUGUUUAGUAGCUUUUAUAUGUCUUUACUUUAGGAUAGCCCUCAUUUUAUCUUAUGUUUCUGGUUUUAUCUUACGUCUCUGGCUGAUGAUUGAUUCCUUUAUAUAAUUGAGAUUUACAAGUGCUAAGUUAGGUAUCAGUGCAGUCCUUUAGUGUCGUGUUUUGUAUAAAAUAGUUGAGGUUUGAUAUUCGGAUAAGCUUAGGUUUAAUUGGAAUUUGGCCAAGACGGAGUGGACAGUUAAUCAUCUCCCGUCUCUUUGAUCGGAGUUUGAAGUAUGGAGAAUCAAACAAAUUCUCCAUGCCAUGGACUGUUCUCCAGGCGAUUAUCAGCAUUGUACUACAGAAGAAAGUAGGCCAUGAAACAUAAGUAAGUGCUAAAAAAUUGGUUGAUACAAAGAAGGGUCUAAGACCUCAAGAUCUUGAGUUAAAUCUUUCUAGAAGAUUGAUAGUCAAUAUGAACAUUUGGAAUGUGGCGGUCUUGGAUAGUACAACCGGAAUGCUGUCAAAUGCAAAUCUAGAAUCCCUUUUUGCAAAAAUUAUAGUUUGGAGUUACGCUAUGAAGUGUUGCUCCAGGAAGGCCAUUUAAAG